Molecule: transfer RNA, 77 nt
Filed under: Verrucomicrobia bacterium ADurb.Bin474
Lineage: Bacteria; Pseudomonadati; Verrucomicrobiota
Also listed under: 1 other name
Description: tRNA-Pro
Rfam family: tRNA
About the family: Transfer RNA (tRNA) molecules are approximately 80 nucleotides in length. Their secondary structure includes four short double-helical elements and three loops (D, anti-codon, and T loops).
Source: RNAcentral
CGGGGCGUCGCACAGCCUGGUAGUGCACCUGCUUUGGGAGCAGGGGGUCGCUGGUUCAAAUCCAGUCGCCCCGACCA